AUGCGGCCGUGGUGCGCGAACGCAAGGGAGGUGGUCGUCCCCGGCGGCGAGGGGGCCACGGUGGUGCUCGCGCAUGGCUAUGGCAUGGACCAGGCGUCCUGGGACAAGAUCCUGCCCUCCAUCACCAAAGCAAACAAGGUGGUCCUCUUCGACUGGGACUUCACCGCCGGUGCCGAGGACGGCGACGAGGCGAGGUACACGUUCACCCGGUUCGCCGACGACCUGAUUGCGCUGAUGGACGAGAGGGAUGUCCGUGGCGCGGUGCUGGUGGGGCACUCCAUGUCCGCCAUGGUCGGCUGUAUCGCCGCCGCCCGGCAACCCGACCUCUUCGCCCACCUCCUCCUCCUCUGCGCCUCUCCAAGGUACAUCAACUCGGAGGAGGAGGGGUACGUGGGCGGCUUCGAGGAGGCGGCCAUCCACGGUAUGUUGGGGGCCAUGGAGUCCGACUUCCAAGCCUGGGUCAAAGGCUUCGUCCCCAACGCCGCCGGUGGCGCUGCCGACGACAUGGCGGCCGCAACCGUGGAGUCCCUGGAGCGUAGCUUCCUGGCCAUGGACCCGGCCGUGGCUCUCGGGGUGGCCAGGAUGAUCUUCCUCGGCGACCAGCGCCCGGCCCUCGAUGCUGUGCCAACACAGUGCACCAUCGUUGGGGUGCGCCAUGACUUUGCCGCACCGCCGGUCGUGGCCGAGUACAUGGAGCGGAGAAUGAUGAAAGCAGGCACAGACGUGGCCGUGGAGAUUGUCGAGUCCGUUGGGCACUUUCCCCAGCUCGUCGUGCCGACGCGCGUGGCAGGCAUACUCGACGGCGUGCUGCUGCGGCUGCGCCACAAGGGGCUCUCGAACGGGCAUGAUGGCACGGAGGAGGAAGACACAACGGUGCCUGCCGCUACUGAGGUGGAGAUUGAUGGUGGCAUCGACGUCACGACGUAG
This 927-nucleotide ribosomal RNA is filed under the name Triticum aestivum (bread wheat). RNAcentral describes it as "partial small subunit ribosomal RNA". Lineage: Eukaryota; Viridiplantae; Streptophyta; Magnoliopsida; Poales; Poaceae. The record is from RNAcentral.